UAGGGAAUCUUCCACAAUGGACGCAAGUCUGAUGGAGCAACGCCGCGUGAGUGAAGAAGGUUUUCGGACCGUAAAGCUCUGUUGUUGGUGAAGAAGGAUAGAGGUAGUAACUGGCCUUUAUUUGACGGUAAUCAACCGGAAAGUCACGGCUAACUACGUGCCAGCAGCCGCGGUAAUACGUAGGUGGCAAGCGUUGUCCGGAUUUAUUGGGCGUAAAGCGAGCGCAGGCGGAAGAAUAAGUCUGAUGUGAAAGCCCUCGGCUUAACCGAGGAAUUGCAUCGGAAACUGUUUUUCUUGAGUGCAGAAGAGGAGAGUAGAACUCCAUGUGUAGCGGUGGAAUGCGUAGAUAUAUGGAAGAAUACCAGUGGCGAAGGCGGCUCUCUGGUCUGCAACUGACGCUGAGGCUCGAAAGCAUGGGUAGCGAACAGGAUUAGAUACCCUGGUAGUCCAUGCCGUAAACGAUGAGUGCUAAGUGUUGGGAGGCUUCCGCCUCUCAGUGU
This 500-nucleotide ribosomal RNA is filed under the name uncultured bacterium. RNAcentral describes it as "partial 16S ribosomal RNA". It matches the Rfam family "Bacterial small subunit ribosomal RNA", at positions 355 to 846 of the family's 1533-position model. The record is from RNAcentral.